This 254-nucleotide ribosomal RNA is filed under the name uncultured bacterium. Its description in RNAcentral is "partial 16S ribosomal RNA". It matches the Rfam family "Bacterial small subunit ribosomal RNA", at positions 524 to 776 of the family's 1533-position model. The record is from RNAcentral.
UACGUAGGGUGCGAGCGUUGUCCGGAAUUAUUGGGCGUAAAGAGCUCGUAGGCGGUGUGUCACGUCGGCCGUGAAAACCUGCAGCUUAACUGUGAGCGUGCGGUCGAUACGGGCAUCACUGGAGUUCGGCAGGGGAGACUGGAAUUCCUGGUGUAGCGGUGAAAUGCGCAGAUAUCAGGAGGAACACCGGUGGCGAAGGCGGGUCUCUGGGCCGAUACUGACGCUGAGGAGCGAAAGCAUGGGUAGCGAACAGG